This 421-nucleotide unclassified non-coding RNA is filed under the name soil metagenome. Its description in RNAcentral is "partial contains 5.8S ribosomal RNA, internal transcribed spacer 2, and large subunit ribosomal RNA". The stretch from base 1 to 120 matches the Rfam family "5.8S ribosomal RNA", at positions 35 to 154 of the family's 154-position model. The record is from RNAcentral.
GAUGAAGAACGUAGCGAAAUGCGAUACGUAAUGUGAAUUGCAGAAUUCAGUGAAUCAUCGAGUCUUUGAACGCAUAUUGCGCUCUUUGGUAUUCCGAAGAGCAUGCUUGUUUGAGUAUCAGUAAACACCUCAACCUCUUCUUGAUUUUUCAAAAGGAGGGUGGACUUGAGCUAUCCCAACAACCUUUACCGGUCGGCGGGCGGCUUGAAAUGCAGGUGCAGCUGGACUUUUAUCUGAGCUAAAAGCAUAUCUAUUUAGUCCUCGUCAAACAGGAUUAUUACUUUUGCUGCAGCUAACAUAAAGGAUAAUUGUCCUCUUUGCUGACUGAUGCAGGAUUUUACGACACUUUAUGUGUUGUUCAACUCGAUCUCAAAUCAAGUAAGACUACCCGCUGAACUUAAGCAUAUCAAUAAGCGGAGGA